UACGUAGGGUGCAAGCGUUGUCCGGAAUUAUUGGGCGUAAAGAGCUCGUAGGCGGUCUGUCACGUCGGCUGUGAAAACUCGGGGCUCAACCCCGAGCCUGCAGUCGAUACGGGCAGACUAGAGGUAGGUAGGGGAGAAUGGAAUUCCCGGUGUAGCGGUGAAAUGCGCAGAUAUCGGGAGGAACACCGGUGGCGAAGGCGGUUCUCUAGUACGGUACUGACGCUGAGACGCGAAAGCGUGGGAGCGAACAGG
RNAcentral lists this ribosomal RNA (252 nucleotides) under uncultured bacterium. Its description in RNAcentral is "partial 16S ribosomal RNA". It matches the Rfam family "Bacterial small subunit ribosomal RNA", at positions 524 to 776 of the family's 1533-position model. The record is from RNAcentral.